CGGCGAGUGAAGCGGCAAUAGCUCAAAUUUGAAAGCUGGCGUCUUCGACGUCCGCGUUGUAAUUUGUAGAGGAUGCUUCGGCGAGGACUCCUGCCUAAGUUCCCUGGAAUGGGACGUCACAGAGGGUGAGAAUCCCGUAUGUGGCGGGCGGUCCAAGCCAUGUGAAGCUCCUUCGACGAGUCGAGUUGUUUGGGAAUGCAGCUCUAAAUGGGAGGUAAAUUUCUUCUAAAGCUAAAUACCGGCCAGAGACCGAUAGCGCACAAGUAGAGUGAUCGAAAGAUGAAAAGCACUUUGGAAAGAGAGUUAAAAAGUACGUGAAAUUGUUGAAAGGGAAGCGCUUGCAACCAGACUCGUUCGCAGUUGCUCAGCCCGCCUCUUGGUGGGUGUACUCUUCUGCGGUCGGGCCAGCAUCGGUUCGGGCGGCCGGAUAAAGGUGUCGGGAAUGUAGCACCCUUCGGGGUGUGUUAUAGCCCGGCGCGGAACGCGGCCAGCCUGGACCGAGGAUCUCGCUUCGGCAAGGAUGCUGGCGUAAUGGUUGUAAGCGGCCCGUCUUGAAACACGGACCAAGGAGUCUAACAUCUAUGCGAGUGUUUGGGUGUCAAACCCAUGCGCGUAAUGAAAGUGAACGGAGGUGGGAACCCGCAAGGGUGCACCAUCGACCGAUCCUGAUGUCUUCGGAUGGAUUUGAGUAAGAGCAUAGCUGUUGGGACCCGAAAGAUGGUGAACUAUGCCUGAAUAGGGUGAAGCCAGAGGAAACUCUG
Molecule: ribosomal RNA, 761 nt
Filed under: Phyllosticta bifrenariae
Lineage: Eukaryota; Fungi; Ascomycota; Dothideomycetes; Botryosphaeriales; Phyllostictaceae
Description: eukaryotic LSU rRNA
Rfam family: Eukaryotic large subunit ribosomal RNA
Source: RNAcentral